CCUACGGGAGGCAGCAGUAGGGAAUUUUCGUCAAUGGGCGCAAGCCUGAACGAGCGAUGCCGCGUGAGUGAAGAAGGCCUUCGGGUCGUAAAGCUCUGUUGCGGGGGAAAAAAGGCAGCAUCAGGAAAUGGGUGCUGACUGAUGGUGCCCCGCCAGAAAGUCACGGCUAACUACGUGCCAGCAACCGCGGUAAUGCGUAGGUGGCGAGCGUUAUCCGGAAUGAUGGGGCGUAAAGGGUGGGCAGGCGGUCCUGCAAGUCUGGAGUGAAACGCAUGGGCUCAACUCAUGCAUGGCUUUGGAAACUGGAGGACUGGAGAGCAGGAGAGGGCGGUGGAACUCCAGGUGUAGCGGUAAAAUGCGUAGAUAUAUGGAAGAACACCAGUGGCGAAGGCGGCCGCCUGGCCUGUUGCUGACGCUGAGGCACGAAAGCGUGGGGAGCAAAUAGGAUUAGAUACCCGAGUAGUC
This 465-nucleotide ribosomal RNA is filed under the name uncultured bacterium. RNAcentral describes it as "partial 16S ribosomal RNA". It matches the Rfam family "Bacterial small subunit ribosomal RNA", at positions 338 to 795 of the family's 1533-position model. The record is from RNAcentral.